AGCUUUGCACAGUGGCAGUAUUGUAGCCAAUGAGCUUUAUCCAAGGUAUGAUUAUUGCUCAUUGAAAUUCAGAAAAAGUGGG
Molecule: small nuclear RNA, 82 nt
Filed under: Saimiri boliviensis boliviensis (Bolivian squirrel monkey)
Lineage: Eukaryota; Metazoa; Chordata; Mammalia; Primates; Cebidae
Description: U4 spliceosomal RNA (ENSSBOG00000012844.1)
Source: RNAcentral